RNAcentral lists this long non-coding RNA (463 nucleotides) under Setaria viridis. Its description in RNAcentral is "long non-coding RNA (SVIR_LNC004446)". Lineage: Eukaryota; Viridiplantae; Streptophyta; Magnoliopsida; Poales; Poaceae. The record is from RNAcentral.
UCUCACUCUUUGAGUACACUAAGAUGUCAUCAAUGAAUACCACAAUGAACUUGUCCAACUUGGGCAUUUUCAUCCCGGUUGAAUUCGGUGUAUGCGGGAAAUCAUCGCCGAUACUCUGUGGGGCUAUCCGGUUUGCUCGCUCCGCCCUUUCACUUACUUCGAAGGGGAUCGCAGACUACUUUCUUUGGGGCUAUGCUAACUCAUAGCAGCACCUAUCACUAGAAACUCUUUCAUUCCUCACUAGCAGUUCUUUGGAACUAGUUCCGUAGUACCUGUAAGAGCAGAACACUUCCCUCCACUCAUACUCUUUACCUGUGGGGCUGUAUGGUACUUUAGCUGGACUUUACACCAGCUCUAUUCACUGAUAGCGUUACUGGCUCUUUUCCAGCAUUUCUUGAAAGCAGCUCGCACUCACCGCUGCGCGCCUAGUUAGGCUUUGAAAUAAUAGGAACAAAGAUCUUCC